Molecule: non-coding RNA, 85 nt
Organism: Mycena capillaripes
Lineage: Eukaryota; Fungi; Basidiomycota; Agaricomycetes; Agaricales; Mycenaceae
Source: the annotation of a GenBank genome assembly
GGUCGCUUAGCUCAGUGGUAGACUUUGGAUGCAGAGCAUUCAGAGCAAAACUGGAAGGUCCUGGGCUCGAGUCCCAGAGCAACCA